GUCAGGUUGGUCGGGCGGUCUAAGUCGCCAGACUCGAGUUCUGGUCCACGCUGUGGGCGUGGGUUCGAAUCCCACUCUUUACA
Dryococelus australis is the source of this 83-nucleotide non-coding RNA. The record is from the annotation of a GenBank genome assembly. NCBI's taxonomy places the organism in Eukaryota, Metazoa, Arthropoda, Insecta, Phasmatodea, Phasmatidae.